CCGAAUUCGUCGACAACAGAGUUUGAUCCUGGCUCAGAUUGAACGCUGGCGGCAGGCCUAACACAUGCAAGUCGAGCGGAUGAGAGGAGCUUGCUCUUCGAUUCAGCGGCGGACGGGUGAGUAAUGCCUAGGAAUCUGCCUAGUAGUGGGGGACAACGUUUCGAAAGGAACGCUAAUACCGCAUACGUCCUACGGGAGAAAGUGGGGGAUCUUCGGACCUCACGCUAUUAGAUGAGCCUAGGUCGGAUUAGCUAGUUGGUAGGGUAAAGGCCUACCAAGGCGACGAUCCGUAACUGGUCUGAGAGGAUGAUCAGUCACACUGGAACUGAGACACGGUCCAGACUCCCACGGGAGGCAGCAGUGGGGAAUAUUGGACAAUGGGCGAAAGCCUGAUCCAGCCAUGCCGCGUGUGUGAAGAAGGCCUUCGGGUCGUAAAGCACUUUAAGUUGGGAGGAAGGGCUCAUAGCGAAUACCUGUGAGUUUUGACGUUACCAACAGAAUAAGCACCGGCUAACUUCGUGCCAGCAGCCGCGGUAAUACGAAGGGUGCAAGCGGUUAAUCGGAAUUACUGGGCGUAAAGCGCCGCGUUAGGUGGCUUGAUAAGUUNGGAUUGUGAAAAUCCCCGGGGCUCAACCUGGGAACUGCAUCCAAAACUGUCUGGCUAGAGUGCGGUAGAGGGUAGUGRAAUUYCCAGUGUAGSGGUGAAAUSCGUAGAUAUUGGAAGGAACACCAGUGGCGAAGGCGACUMCCUGGACUGACACUGACACUGAGGUGCGAAAGCGUGGGGAGCAAACGGGAUUAGAUACCCUGGUAGUCCACGCCGUAAACGAUGUCAACUAGCCGUUGGGAUCCUUGAGAUCUUAGUGGCGCCACUAACGCAUUAAGUUGACCGCCUGGGGAGUACGGCCGCAAGGUUAAAACUCAAAUGAAUUGACGGGGGGCCGCACAAGCGGUGGAGCAUGUGGUUUAAUUCGAAGCAACGCGAAGAACCUUACCUGGCCUUGACAUGCUGAGAACUUUCCAGAGAUGGAAUUGGUGCCUUCGGGAAACUCAGACCACAGGUGCUGCAUGGCUGUCGUCAGCUUCGUGUCGUGAGAAUGUUGGGUUAAGUCCCGUAACGAGCGCAACCCUUGUCCUUAGUUACCAGCACGUUAUGGUGGGCACUCUAAGGAGACUGCCGGUGACAAACCGGAGGAAGGUGGGGAUGACGUCAAGUCAUCAUGGCCCUUACGGCCAGGGCUACACACGUGCUACAAUGGUCGGUACAAAGGGUUGCCAAGCCGCGAGGUGGAGCUAAUCCCAUAAGACCGAUCGUAGUCCGGAUCGCAGUCUGCAACUCGACUGCGUGAAGUCGGAAUCGCUAGUAAUCGUGAAUCAGAACGUCACGGUGAAUACGUUCCCGGGCCUUGUACACACCGCCCGUCACACCAUGGGAGUGGGUUGCUCCAGAAGUAGCUAGUCUAACCCUCGGGAGGACGGUUACCACGGAGUGAUUCAUGACUGGGGUGAAGUCGUAACAAGGUAGCCGUAGGGGAACCUGCGGCUGGAUCACCUCCUUAAGCUUGGAUCCCGGG
RNAcentral lists this ribosomal RNA (1574 nucleotides) under uncultured Pseudomonas sp. RNAcentral's name for it is "partial 16S ribosomal RNA". It matches the Rfam family "Bacterial small subunit ribosomal RNA". Lineage: Bacteria; Pseudomonadati; Pseudomonadota; Gammaproteobacteria; Pseudomonadales; Pseudomonadaceae. The record is from RNAcentral.